AUAUACUGCAUUUCUUUGCCUUCUUGGUUUCACUUUUUUAAACAACUCUUCCUUAAAAAAUUAGAAUCCUGAUAAGAACAUGAUACAACAUUAUGUGCUGCUGUGAUUUAACUAAAUACAAUAACAAGUCUGAGCAGCAACAUAAAUAAGGACUCUAAUUUUACUUAAGCAAAAAUACCCAUGAGUAAAACUGAAAAUUUUAAGACUGAGGAAAGAACUGAGUUCAUGUUUUUUAUGAAAAAAAAGUUUAGUUUCCAGAUCUACUUAUGUUGCAUUAAUGAACAGUAGCUGCUCAGCAAAAUAAAUGCAGAAAUUCAUUAAAGUUGGAGGAAAAUAGCAAUAUCUUAGUUAAUUUUCUUUGGGAAGUGAUUCCUUCUGACUAUAGAUGUUGUGCAAUAGUUCUGCUACUCUGUGGUGCUCCAGAAAGCUGAAAAUCUGAGAUUUACCUGUGCUGAUUCACAUGACCUGUAGUCAGUAUUUAUCAACAAAGACCUGCCAGUUGUCCCUUGAUCUGGAGGAAACCCAAAGCAGUCAGAAGGAAAUGCUUCUCAAAGGUGUUCAGAGCUGACAGUGCUGCAGAUGUGCAUGAAGUGGUGCUUCCAGCCCCUGGCCAAUGCAAUCCCAGUGCCCAGGAAUCCCCAGGAAUCCCCAGUCUGCCCCUGAAUGGGAGCUUCAUCCCCUCAGUGAAACACUUCCCCAGGAUCAGAAUCAAGGUAAGACAGCCCUCAGGUUGCUGGCAGUGGAAGGUGCAGAUUUCAGGAAAAGACAGCAAAAGGUAGCAGACUGCCCAAAGAUCCUGCUGCCAGUGCGCUUGCAGAGGAACCUGGGAGCCUGCUUCUCUGGCCACCACAGAAGACAAAUGCCUCAGGUGGUAUAAACUGAUGGUUUUCCAUCCAAAAGGGUUCUGAGAAUGAGUCAAGCACUGCCUGACAGAAAGAUUCCUCUUUGAAGGCCGUUGUGUGCAGAAGCAGAUGGCUCGUUCCACUCCUGAAGUUUGCCUCGUGCAAGUGAGAAGGUCUAAAUAUGUCCUAAACUGCUGCUACUAUUAAACUUCACAGAUAAUCCUUCCUACUUCUUGAAGACACUUCUGUCAAAUUUAGAUUAACAUCUUUCCUCCAGUGUAGGUGAGGGCACUCCUGACUUGUACUGACAAGCAGAGCGUUUUACAUAACACACAGAACUCGGCGAUUUUGUGUUUGUUUUCCUAUCCAAGUGACUCUGUAUGACAAUGUGUGAAGUAUGUGCAGAUGGCAAGAACAGUUAUGUUAUCAAGUUUGUUUCCUCUGCCAGUGCCUGCUGAAAAAUAAUUCCAGCUCCCCAUCUAAAAGUAUAAAUAAACGAUAAAACAAAAUAUCUUUUCCUUCCA
RNAcentral lists this long non-coding RNA (1366 nucleotides) under Parus major (Great Tit). Its description in RNAcentral is "lncRNA (ENSPMJG00000018600.1)". The record is from RNAcentral. Lineage: Eukaryota; Metazoa; Chordata; Aves; Passeriformes; Paridae.